GCCAACUAUUGCCAUAGUUGCAGACUUUGACACUUUUGGUGUUGCACCUGUAUGUAACCCUGAAAAAAUAUUCCAAGAAUCUUCUUUGAUAUUAUUUCUGAUAUUUUCAUAAUACAUAUGUUCUCAGGCGCUUUCCGUGGGAAGUCAUAGCAAUGGAAGCGGAGUUGUAGCUCUUCUGAAAAUUGCAAGGAUCUUUUCACACAUCUAUUCAAGCCCUAAGACCAGAAGCAAGUUUAAUCUUCUCUUUGGAUUAACAUCUGGCUGACCCUACAAUUAAAAUGGAACUAGCAAGGUUAUCAAUUUUUGUUACAGUGGCUUGAAGUUUUGACCAACAUGUGUGUGAUAUUAUUGACUAUGCAAUUUACUUGAAUAUCAUUGGUUCCUGGAGCAAUGAUCUCUGGAUGCAUGUAUCAAAGCCUCCAGAGAAGCCUUACAUCAAGCAAAUCUUUGAGGAUUUUUCGCAUGUCUCCAAGGAAAUGAGCAUUUCAGUCGCACAAGAAGAUUAAUGUGUCAAAUUCUAGAACUGCAUGCUGAACAAGCUUCAGAUUGAGGAGAGCUUGGUCCCCAAGAUGUGCCUAAAUUUGUACAGGGAAUAAGGAACUACAAUGGCCGGUCUGAAGCUUAUGGGCUAUGAUUUCGACUACGAGGAAUUCCACGCCAGCAUGCACGGUAAAUUGCCAUAUGAGAAGUUGAAGCCGGACCCUGUCCUGAGGAACCUACUGCUUUCGAUGCCUCAAAAUCCCUCUGAUGUUUCUUGCUACAUCACAUCAGCGAGGGGUCUGUGACCGUUAAAUGCUUCAGCAGUUACAGCUUGUCGUUGCACCGUAGAUAUUCACCAACUCUGAUGAGGGUCACGCGGCCGCCCUCCUCUUGGUUAACUCUGACAUUCAUUGUGCCAUUUAUAUCAAAAUAUUGCAUGAGUUUUUGUUGGUUGUUCAGGGACUAAGCUUAUCUCGGUUACUGUGAAUUUUAAUUGUACUCUGGGUCAAGUGAUUUUUUGAUAUGGUAACUAAUUUCUUGUUCUUUUUGCCAAA
Long non-coding RNA from Triticum dicoccoides, 1034 nucleotides. RefSeq lists it as uncharacterized. Lineage: Eukaryota; Viridiplantae; Streptophyta; Magnoliopsida; Poales; Poaceae. The record is from RefSeq and is a predicted model, not a curated record. The transcript has 4 exons.